This 76-nucleotide microRNA precursor is filed under the name Branchiostoma floridae (Florida lancelet). RNAcentral describes it as "mir-4872 microRNA precursor family". It matches the Rfam family "mir-4872 microRNA precursor family". Lineage: Eukaryota; Metazoa; Chordata; Leptocardii; Amphioxiformes; Branchiostomatidae. The record is from Rfam by way of RNAcentral.
UCACAAGUGGUGCCGGGGCGACAAAGCUCUGAGUUCUGUUAACAUCAGAGCUUUGUUGCCCCGACUCCUUCUGUGA